GAUGAACGCUGGCGGCGUGCUUAACACAUGCAAGUCGAACGAAGCAUUUGCGACAGAUUUUUUCGGAAUGAAGUUGCUUAUGACUGAGUGGCGGACGGGUGAGUAACGCGUGGGUAACCUGCCUUGUACUGGGGGAUAGCAGCUGGAAACGGCUGGUAAUACCGCAUAAGCGCACAAUGUUGCAUGACAUGGUGUGAAAAACUCCGGUGGUAUAAGAUGGACCCGCGUCUGAUUAGCUAGUUGGUGAGAUAACAGCCCACCAAGGCGACGAUCAGUAGCCGACCUGAGAGGGUGACCGGUCACAUUGGGACUGAGACACGGCCCAGACUCCUACGGGAGGCAGCAGUGGGGAAUAUUGCACAAUGGAGGAAACUCUGAUGCAGCGACGCCGCGUGAGUGAAGAAGUAAUUCGUUAUGUAAAGCUCUAUCAGCAGGGAAGAUAGUGACGGUACCUGACUAAGAAGCUCCGGCUAAAUACGUG
RNAcentral lists this ribosomal RNA (481 nucleotides) under uncultured bacterium. RNAcentral's name for it is "partial 16S ribosomal RNA". It matches the Rfam family "Bacterial small subunit ribosomal RNA", at positions 28 to 507 of the family's 1533-position model. The record is from RNAcentral.